UCUCUCAACUCUCGGCUCUCUCUAUCUCUCAGUUUUUUUUUCCUUUUUUUUUUUGGUUCAAGAGGCCAAGACACAACCUAACAACUCUAACGACACAAAAAAAACUUCCCCUCGACUCUCUCAAUUGGUUCUCUCAACUCUCAAGACACCAUUACAAACACUCCCACUCAAAACUCUCCUGCACUCUCUCGGCUCUAUCCCUCUCUUUUCUCUCAAUUCACACAACACACCCACACACAAAUCAAACACAAUAAAGCAAGCAACAAAGGGUUGAAACCUGGGAAUUCCUUCAAAAAAUUUGACCGAGAAACUCUUGCUCACAUUGAGCCAAGAACGGAUUCUAUGCAAAAAAUCGAAUUGAGGAUGUAUUUUGGUGAAUUUUCUGCAAAUUGGAGAGGUCGCCGGUGAUCGGCGACCGACGGUGGUCCAAUGACGACCCCAUCGCCGGCAUCAGCUAUGAUCAUUGGAUGAAGCUUCUGUCUUCUCGGAAAAGAAGAAGAAGAGAGAAAGGAAGAAGAAGAAGAAAAAGAAAGAAAAAGGAAAAGAAAUAAAGAAAGAAAAAUGUUGGGUUUUUUGUUUUUUAUUUCUGGUAGGCUGCUAGUUUAUUUUUGUUGGGUUUGUGGUUGGAUUGUUGGAGCUAAACCCAACGUUUUAUUAUCUGUAAUUUUGUCCAAAUUUUCUUUGGGCUUAUUUGUAUUUUUUUUUUAUAGAUUAGCCUGAGUUUUCUUUUGGGCUACAGAGUAGUCCGGCCCAACAUAUUAAAAAAA
Coffea arabica (coffee) is the source of this 767-nucleotide non-coding RNA. Lineage: Eukaryota; Viridiplantae; Streptophyta; Magnoliopsida; Gentianales; Rubiaceae. The record is from RefSeq and is a predicted model, not a curated record.